AAUAGAUACCCCGGUAGUCCACGCCGUAAACGAUGAGUGCUAAGUGUUAGGGGGUUUCCGCCCCUUAGUGCUGCAGCUAACGCAUUAAGCACUCCGCCUGGAGAGUACGGUCGCAAGACUGAAACUCAAAGGAAUUGACGGGGGCCCGCACAAGCGGUGGAGCAUGUGGUUUAAUUCGAAGCAACGCGAAGAACCUUACCAGGUCUUGACAUCCCACUGACCGCUAUGGAGACAUAGUUUUCCCUUCGGGGACAGUGGUGACAGGUGGUGCAUGGUUGUCGUCAGCUCGUGUCGUGAGAUGUUGGGUUAAGUCCCGCAACGAGCGCAACCCUUGAUCUUAGUUGCCAUCAUUUAGUUGGGCACUCUAAGGUGACUGCCGGUGACAAACCGGAGGAAGGUGGGGAUGACGUCAAAUCAUCAUGCCCCUUAUGACCUGGGCUACACACGUGCUACAAUGGACGGUCAAACGGUUGCCAACCCGGCAGGGGGGAGCUAAUCCGGAUAAAACCCGUUCUCAGUUCGGGUUNUAGGCUGCAACCCGCCUACA
Molecule: ribosomal RNA, 547 nt
Filed under: uncultured bacterium
Lineage: Bacteria
Description: bacterial SSU rRNA
Rfam family: Bacterial small subunit ribosomal RNA
Source: RNAcentral